Molecule: ribosomal RNA, 466 nt
Filed under: Vreelandella stevensii
Lineage: Bacteria; Pseudomonadati; Pseudomonadota; Gammaproteobacteria; Oceanospirillales; Halomonadaceae
Description: partial 16S ribosomal RNA
Rfam family: Bacterial small subunit ribosomal RNA
Source: RNAcentral
ACUACGGGAGGCAGCAGUGGGGAAUAUUGGACAAUGGGCGAAAGCCUGAUCCAGCCAUGCCGCGUGUGUGAAGAAGGCCUUCGGGUUGUAAAGCACUUUCAGUGGGGAAGAAAGCCUUGGGGCUAAUACCCUCGAGGAAGGACAUCACCCACAGAAGAAGCACCGGCUAACUCCGUGCCAGCAGCCGCGGUAAUACGGAGGGGUGCGAGCGUUAAUCGGAAUUACUGGGCGUAAAGCGCGCGUAGGCGGUCUGAUAAGCCGGUUGUGAAAGCCCCGGGCUCAACCUGGGAACGGCAUCCGGAACUGUCAGGCUAGAGUGCACGAGAGGAAGGUAGAAUUCCCGGUGUAGCGGUGAAAUGCGUAGAGAUCGGGAGGAAUACCAGUGGCGAAGGCGGCCUUCUGGACUGACACUGACGCUGAGGUGCGAAAGCGUGGGUAGCAAACAGGAUUAGAUACCCGAGUAGUC